AUUCAAUAAUAAAUAGUCAAGUACAAAAUUAUGUCCCUAGAAUUAACAAUGUGUCAACCAGAUUGGCUUCUAGGGCAUACAUCUAACAGCUAAUCCUAUUGGAUUCAGGUCGUCGAAAAAUGGGUCCCCUCUGGAAUCGUUCGCAGUCUCUGGCAAUCUGGUAGGCUUGGUCUAAAUCAUGAAUUUUCCUUAAGAACAAUUUCCUUUGAAUGUCCUCCUUAAGAUCAGCUCUAAACCUAGAUAGGGUUACGGCUUCUGACUCGACUAUGUUGCACCUCAUAGCGAACUCAUCAAAUUUGG
RNAcentral lists this long non-coding RNA (300 nucleotides) under Phoenix dactylifera (date palm). Its description in RNAcentral is "long non-coding RNA (PDAC_LNC010636)". Lineage: Eukaryota; Viridiplantae; Streptophyta; Magnoliopsida; Arecales; Arecaceae. The record is from RNAcentral.